UAGUCCACGCCGUAAACGAUGGUCACUAGCUGUUUGAACUUCGGUUUGAGUGGCUAAGCGAAAGUGAUAAGUAUCCCACCUGGGGAGUACGUUCGCAAGAAUGAAACUCAAAGGAAUUGACGGGGGCCCGCACAAGCGGUGGAACAUGUGGUUUAAUUCGAUGAUACGCGAGGAACCUUACCAGGGCUUAAAUGCAUAACGAUCGUCAUGGAAACAUGAUUUUCUUCGGACGGAAUGCAAGGUGCCGCAUGGUUGUCGUCAGCUCGUGCCGUGAGGUGUCGGGUUAAGUCCCAUAACGAGCGCAACCCCUAUUCUUAGUUGCCAGCGGAUAAUGCCGGGGACUCUAAGAAAACUGCCAGUGUAAGCUGUGAGGAAGGUGGGGAUGGCGUCAAAUCAUCACGGCCCUUACGUCCUGGGCUACACACGUGCUACAAUGGUCGGUACAGAGGGCAGCUACCUAGUGAUAGGAUGCAAAUCUCUAAAGCCGGCCCUAGUUCGAAUUGGAGCCUGC
This 511-nucleotide ribosomal RNA is filed under the name uncultured bacterium. RNAcentral's name for it is "bacterial SSU rRNA". It matches the Rfam family "Bacterial small subunit ribosomal RNA", at positions 791 to 1308 of the family's 1533-position model. The record is from RNAcentral.